CCGCUUCCGGCUGUCCGGCCCUGGAGGCGCUCACCACGCAGCCCGCCUGCUCGGCCGCCUUCAUGGAGGGCCCCCACUGCCGCCCCAUGGUUCCUGGGACUGGACUUCCAAGGUUUCCCCAAGAACAAGCCAAAAAGCAAGUGAACAAUCUGUUACCCACUCUGUGAUGAGGAACGAAUCCAGCUGACCACAGUGGAAACCUGCCACAACCAUAAGGCCAAGUUUCUGACCUUUUUUUUAAUUCUCCAUGGACAAGCUGAUGCCACCUCCUACAAGGCAGUUACAGAGACAAGGGAGCUUAGAGGAGCUUCUCUCACCAACCUGCCACCUCAGCAGGAGUAAGUUCACUCUCCUGAACUCUGGCCUCCAAUGUGUAACUGUUCAUAAUUUUAUGAAGUAUCUAAAUGUCAUUCACUAAUUAAAAAAAAAAAAAAGAAUAGAAAACUCUGGACCAAGGAAAUUGUGAACUCAAAAAGUCAAGAGGGAUACCAAUUACAUUAACAACACUUUCUUUAAAAAAUAGAAUCACUUUCUUUUGAAAUCAACCACAGUGGUGAGACGUGUUUUUCUUCUCAGGUGUCCUGUGAUGGCACACAGCCUUACCCGGCAAAUCCUGCCAGCUUCCAAGUCCGGGGAUACUGACCUGCACCAGCACAUGGAGCAGCGUUACCUCAACAGUAUGGAGAAGAGCACAUGUCACCACUGGGCGUGAGAGUUGACAAAGACUCUUGGCUUCUCAACGCCAGACAUGGUUGGAGAGCUUUCCUUGUUCUAUUAGAAAAGUUCAUGAGGAAGCUGUGAAUAGGAUCAGUCCAGAGGAGUAAAACUCUUUUAUUUUCACUGUCCAAACAUCAGUCAAUAUACUGGGAGAGCCAGCGGAAACCCUCGCCGUAGCCUUGCCUCUUGAGCACACUGCACAUAAACACUUCCAUGGGGCGGGCAUUCAGUUCCUUCAGAGUCACAUUCCCCUAAGGGAGGCAAAGCCAAGAAAGGGUGGUUAGCAUCUCUGAGGUGGAAAAGCUUAAAAGGGUGAUCACUAAAGUCUGUUACUCAGUUCCUUAAAUGCAUAUCUAAGUGGGUAUUAAUUACAGAAAUGUGGUUCAGGCCAUCUAGAUGACUUCCCUAGGGCCUCUUGCUUUCAGGAUAUAAUAAGUAGCACAGUUCUAUUGCCAGCCAGCCAUUCUCUCUCUCUCUCAAGAGCAUUUGCUUUGAACACUUAACAUUCAUCUAGAAAGUCAAGGCAGCAACCAAGAAACAGCGACUGGGAGUCAUGGAACCAGCAUGUAUUCUGAUGGACAAGAGAGGUCCGGGACUGAUAGAAGUCCCACUGAGAAUAAUCAGGUGCUUUGAUUCCAAUGCUUGGAAUGUGAUAUAAAUGACUGCUUCUCUUCAAAACCUGAAAUCUUCAGCCCCCAAAACAACAAUAAAAAAACCCCAAAACCCCA
Ictidomys tridecemlineatus (thirteen-lined ground squirrel) is the source of this 1445-nucleotide non-coding RNA. The record is from RefSeq and is a predicted model, not a curated record. NCBI's taxonomy places the organism in Eukaryota, Metazoa, Chordata, Mammalia, Rodentia, Sciuridae.